AGAGUUUGAUCCUGGCUCAGAUUGAACGCUGGCGGCAUGCCUUACACAUGCAAGUCGAACGGUAACAGGUCUUCGGAUGCUGACGAGUGGGGAAGGGGUGAAUAAUACAUCAGAACGUGCCCGAUCGUGGGGGAUAGCGCAACGAAUGCUGUGCUAAUACCGCAUACCAUCUACGGAUGAAAGCGGGGGAUCGCAAGACCUCGCGCGGACGGAGCGGCCGAUGGCAGAUUAUGUAGUUGGUGGGAUAAAAGCUUACCAGCCCGACGAUCUGUAGCUGGUCUGAGAGGACGACCAGCCACUCUGGGACUGAGACACGGCCCACACUCCUACAGGAGGCAGCGGUGGGGAAUUUUGGACUAUGGGCGCAAGCCUGAUCCACCCAUGCCGCGUGCAGGAUGAAGGCCUUCGGGUUGCAAACUGCUUUUGUACGGAACGAAAAAGCUCUCUCUAAUAGAGGGGGUGAAUGACGGUACCGUAAUAAUAAACACCGGCUAACUACGUGCCAUCAGCCGCGGUAAUACGUAGGGUGCAAGCGUUAAUCGGAUUUACUGAGCGUAUGGCGUGCGCGCGCGGUUAUGUAAGACAGAGGUAAAAUCCCCAGGCCCCACGCUGUCAACUGCCUUUGUGACUGCAUAGCUGGAGUGCGGCAGAGGGGGAUAGAAUUCCGCGUGUACCAGUGAAAUGCGUAUAUAUGCAGAGGAACACCAGAUAGCGAAGGCCAUCCCCGUGGGCCUGCACUGACGCUCAUGCACUAAUGCGUGAGGAGCAAACAAGAUUACAUGCCCUAGUACUCCACGUCCCUCAACGAUGUCAACUUGGGUUGGGUGGGGUCUGUCGCUGACUCAGUACCUAGCUAACGCGUGUAAGGUCGACCGGCUGGAGGAGCUACGGGCAGCUAGUUCAACUCUAGGAUCGACAGUACGCACGGGUGAAAGGGUUCAUGUCGCGAUUUG
RNAcentral lists this ribosomal RNA (953 nucleotides) under uncultured bacterium. RNAcentral describes it as "bacterial SSU rRNA". It matches the Rfam family "Bacterial small subunit ribosomal RNA", at positions 9 to 873 of the family's 1533-position model. The record is from RNAcentral.